RNAcentral lists this ribosomal RNA (460 nucleotides) under uncultured bacterium. Its description in RNAcentral is "partial 16S ribosomal RNA". It matches the Rfam family "Bacterial small subunit ribosomal RNA", at positions 338 to 795 of the family's 1533-position model. The record is from RNAcentral.
CCUACGGGGAGCAGCAGUGAGGAAUAUUGGUCAAUGGACGAGAGUCUGAACCAGCCAAGUAGCGUGAAGGAUGACUGCCCUAUGGGUUGUAAACUUCUUUUAUAAAGGAAUAAAACUAGGUAUGUGUGCCUUUUUGUAUGUACUUUAUGAAUAAGGAUCGGCUAACUCCGUGCCAGCAGCCGCGGUAAUACGGAGGAUCCGAGCGUUAUCCGGAUUUAUUGGGUUUAAAGGGAGCGUAGAUGGGUUGUUAAGUCAGUUGUGAAAGUUUGCGGCUCAACCGUAAAAUUGCAAUUGAUACUGGCAGUCUUGAGUACAGUUGAGGUAGGCGGAAUUCGUGGUGUAGCGGUGAAAUGCUUAGAUAUCACGAAGAACCCCGAUUGCGAAGGCAGCUUACUAUACUGUGACUGACAUUGAUGCUCGAAGGUGUGGGUAUCAAACAGGAUUAGAUACCCGAGUAGUC